AGGGCACCACCAGGAGUGGAGCCUGCGGCUUAAUUUGACUCAACACGGGAAAACUCACCCGGCCCGGACACUGGAAGGAUUGACGGAUUGAGAGCUCUUUCUUGAUUCAGUGGGUGGUGGUGCAUGGCCGUUCUUAGUUGGUGGAGUGAUUUGUCUGGUUAAUUCCGAUAACGAACGAGACUCUAGCCUACUAAAUAGAUCGUUGGCUUACAAACGCCGGCGAGACUUCUUAGAGGGACAGGCGGUGAUUCAACCGCACGAAACAGAGCAAUAACAGGUCUGUGAUGCCCUUAGAUGUCCGGGGCCGCACGCGCGCUACACUGAAGUGAUCAGCGUGCUUUUUCAACCUACUCUGGCAAGAGUGGGGAACCCAUUGAACCUUCUUCGUGAUUGGGAUAGGGGAUUGUAAUUCUUCCCCUUGAACGAGGAAUUCCCAGUAAGCGCGAGUCAUAAGCUCGCGUUGAUUACGUCCCUGCCCUUUGUACGCACCGCCCGUCGCUACUACCGAUUGAAUGUUUU
Molecule: ribosomal RNA, 519 nt
Filed under: uncultured eukaryote
Lineage: Eukaryota
Description: SSU rRNA
Rfam family: Eukaryotic small subunit ribosomal RNA
Source: RNAcentral